UGCUCAUGUCCUUGUCGACAACCUCAUCCACCAUCAACUCUUCCAUGCUUGUCCAACCAGCAAUCUCUCUGUACACUUCUUCUGCCAACCACUCCUUUCUUUGGACCAGUGCCGUCCACUUUGCCCAAGCUUCAAAACUUCCACCGGAACUCUGUUUACAUCUGAAUUCCAGACAUUCAACCACCGAGUCAAACAAUACUCUCCUCCUAAUCUUCAACUGCUCUUCUACAUUUUUAUUCGUUCGAGUCUUCUGAUUCUCCAACUGGUCAAAGAG
This 274-nucleotide long non-coding RNA is filed under the name Nicotiana benthamiana. Its description in RNAcentral is "long non-coding RNA (NBEN_LNC001557)". Lineage: Eukaryota; Viridiplantae; Streptophyta; Magnoliopsida; Solanales; Solanaceae. The record is from RNAcentral.